Molecule: non-coding RNA, 605 nt
Organism: Cyanistes caeruleus (blue tit)
Lineage: Eukaryota; Metazoa; Chordata; Aves; Passeriformes; Paridae
Source: RefSeq, a predicted model, not a curated record
CUGGCUUUUCUUUACACCUUUCCUGUCCAGGAUGGGAUCUGUGAGACCGGCAAGUUCUUGUGAACACACCUGUGGCUUUGUCCUUGGCAGCUCAUGAACUUUUGGCUUUGGGCCAAGGUCAUUUCCAUCAGCCUGUGCUCACCAUUCCAUCCUUUGGCCUAUUAUUUCCAAAUUUUCAUUUCUCUUAUGGGAUCACCAUUUGCAGUCAUUAGAAGAUUGAGGAUUUUCCUCCUAUCCACUGCAUAGAAAAGGUAAUACCUGGGGUUUCUCCCUGUUUUAAUGUUUAUCACCACCGACACCAGAGCUGCAGAGCAAGAAACCCCAGUGAGUGCUCACUGAUCAGGAUUAGGUGGCACCUUAAAGUGGCUGGCAGAGACAAAGCUCAGACCAAACAAUCUGCUCAACAAUUCACCCUGCACACAAAUGCUGCCCUUGCAGGAUGAACUUCUAAUGAACUGCAAAUUACAAGCAAGGCUACCAGCAGCUUAUCACUUACUUCAAGUGCUGAGGAUAAAGAAAGGUUGCAAGGAGUUGCUAAAAAACACAGGAAGAGGCAGGAAAAGUGUUCCAUUAAAACAAAUUAAGGGCAAGGAGAGAUUGGUGGU